AAUAGAUACCCAGGUAGUCCAUGCCGUAAACGUUGGGCACUAGGUGUGGGGCUCAUUCCACGAGUUCCGUGCCGCAGCAAACGCAUUAAGUGCCCCGCCUGGGGAGUACGGCCGCAAGGCUAAAACUCAAAGGAAUUGACGGGGGCCCGCACAAGCGGCGGAGCAUGCGGAUUAAUUCGAUGCAACGCGAAGAACCUUACCAAGGCUUGACAUGCACGGGAAGCCACCAGAGAUGGUGGUCUCUUUGGACACUCGUGCACAGGUGGUGCAUGGUUGUCGUCAGCUCGUGUCGUGAGAUGUUGGGUUAAGUCCCGCAACGAGCGCAACCCUCGUCCCAUGUUGCCAGCGGGUUAUGCCGGGGACUCAUGGGAGACUGCCGGGGUCAACUCGGAGGAAGGUGGGGAUGACGUCAAAUCAUCAUGCCCCUUAUGUCUUGGGCUUCACGCAUGCUACAAUGGCCGGUACGAAGGGCUGCGAUACCGUAAGGUGGAGCGAAUCCCAAAAAGCCGGUCUCAGUUCGGAUUGGGGUCG
RNAcentral lists this ribosomal RNA (531 nucleotides) under uncultured bacterium. Its description in RNAcentral is "bacterial SSU rRNA". It matches the Rfam family "Bacterial small subunit ribosomal RNA", at positions 777 to 1306 of the family's 1533-position model. The record is from RNAcentral.